AUUUUUUUCCUCUUUCACAAAUUAUUUUCAAAUAUUUUUUUCUAUAAAAGCAAACGAGCAUCAGUGUGUGAAAAUUAAUGAAUAUGUAUGAAACAUUGUAAAUAUUUAUUAGAAAAUGAGGAAAAGAGAGAGGGAGCGUAAAACGCUGGCAUUUGUUUUUGUUUAUGUGCUCUGUUGUAAAUAUAAAUCUCCGUCGCAGUCUCAUUCUCCCUUUCUCUCUCCUCCGUUGCCGAUCUCUGCAACUUGUCUCAGCUGGGUUUUCAUCAAUAUCCAUUCUUCUGCCAUCUGGGUCUCUCGAAGAAUUUCCAUUUUUUUGAAUUUCUUGAUCCACCCACCUGAUCUGUAGGUAAAUGAGUCACAUACGCAAACUCUCUGUCUAUAUCUAUAGAUGUGUAUAUUAUACACACACACACGAAUAUUGUUUUUUUU
RNAcentral lists this long non-coding RNA (429 nucleotides) under Olea europaea (common olive). RNAcentral describes it as "long non-coding RNA (OEUR_LNC000859)". Lineage: Eukaryota; Viridiplantae; Streptophyta; Magnoliopsida; Lamiales; Oleaceae. The record is from RNAcentral.